Molecule: long non-coding RNA, 984 nt
Organism: Ziziphus jujuba (common jujube)
Lineage: Eukaryota; Viridiplantae; Streptophyta; Magnoliopsida; Rosales; Rhamnaceae
Exons: 2
Source: RefSeq, a predicted model, not a curated record
GGACAUCCGGACUAAAAUACCUUUUAUUAAUAUAUAUUUUUUUUCAAUCUUUUUUUCCUACCAAAACACUUAUUUUCUCUACUUUCCCUUUCCCUUUCCUUUUUGAAACACUUAUUUUCUCUACUUUCCCUUUCCCUUUCCUUUUUGAAACACAGCAAGGCCUUCGAACACACUAGGGCUUUACCUUUCCCUUUUGAAACAUACCAUUCAAACACAGCUAGGGCCUUCCUUUCCCUUUUGAAAUAGACCAUUUGACCCUACUCACAAUUCUUUUCCUCCUAUCCAUUGAGGUUGAAGAAUCAACCUCUGCUUUCACAAGUCCAAACUACGAAGCUGAGGACCCAAAAAUCUUUCUCCUUUUCCAUUGUUGAUGCUGCACAGUCCAACUUCUUCAAAGGUUAGUUUCGCUCCUUUUUCUUUUAGCCUUUCCCUUUCGAAACACACCAUUCGACUCUGCUCACAAUUCCUUUCUUUGAUUUGUUAUUGAGGUUGAAGAAGCAACCUUUGCUUUCACAAGUCCAAACUAGAAAGCUCAGGACCUAGAAAUCUUCCUCCUUUCCCGUUGUUUAUGCUGUACAGUCCAAUUUCUUCAAAGGUGCUGGAAUUUCCCUUUCAUCUUUAGUAGUUGUUGAAGGAAAGAUUUGUUGGGAUCCUUACUAAUAUUGAUUUUCUAUAUUUUUCGGCAUUGGAGGAGCAAGUGAUGGACUGAGCAGAAAAUUGAAGCACAAAAUUUACCAUCGUUAGAGUUACAAGUGUUUGCUGAGAAAAUUACACACACACUUAUAGAGAUAGAGAAAGAGAGAGAUAUAUAUAUAUAUAUAUAUAUAUAUAAAUAGAUAGAGAAGCAUUGGUAGCGGUUUGUCCCCCAUUAAUAUAAGUUGCUUCUCAGAACAAAACAGAAAAAUAUUGUAAACUAAUUUCGCUUUAAUGUAAUGAACUAAUCUGAGAACCUUUAUUUGUGCUGUAUUGAAUGGUUUUUCACAA